This is a long non-coding RNA of Cyprinus carpio carpio, 1649 nucleotides long. The record is from Ensembl. NCBI's taxonomy places the organism in Eukaryota, Metazoa, Chordata, Actinopteri, Cypriniformes, Cyprinidae.
AAAUAUUCCCGUAGGGGGAAAAAAGCCCUUGGCUCAGGGUCAAAACAAGUCUAAGCUGCAUCUAUAAUAUUUUGCAUCACGCAUAGUCACAAAAACAUGAUAAACAAAUUUUACAUUAAAAGCGAAAGUGCUCUAAAUAUUCAUUCGCAUCCACUAAAAUGCAAAUGCAUUUUUUUCUGCAACGUCACGCGUGAACUUCCGGACGCGUAUCACAGAGCUGUCUCUCACUUCGAAAUACAAGGAUUUGGCUUCGCAGCAACAUCAUUGCCCCAAUAAUGUUGCACAGAAAGAUCUCUAGAGCAUCCGCUCUGCAUGUUGUUUCUAAACCAACCGUCCAUCUCUCGGCUUGUUUAGAUGCCCAGUGACCUGAGAAAGUCAUACAGAUUUGAAACAACAUGUGCAAGGCUGGAUUAUGGAUAGAGCCAGUAGGCCCAACGCCCCAGGACCUCAAUUUGCUAGGGGCCUCCAAAGCCUCAGGCUGCACAUCCUAAGACUGCCAAAGUAAGCUGAACACCAGGGUCCUCUGUGCAAGGCACAUUUCCUCAUUUCAGCAGAAUAUGAAAUGAACUGGCAUUACAGACAUCUACUCUGUGUGUUCUAAGGCGGACUCGAUUCAUGACACCAGCACUGAACAUGAGGUUUCUCACAGGUCGCUAUGCCCCUUUAUGCAGCAGAUGGGAGACACCGAGAGAGAGAGGAAGGAAGAAAAACAAGAAAUGAAGACAGGAGGGAAGAUUUAUAUCAGAACCCCACUGUUAGGAUUCUCCAUCAUUGCCACAGUGACAGGUUACCUGGCAACGGGAUACACAAUGGUGCGGUAACCGUGACGACAGUGCAGUGGUCUGUCUGGCCAAAGACAAAGGUUUGAGAUGGACAGGAGAGCCUCAGACGGCAGAGAAAAGGUGAAGUGUGUGUGUGUGUGUUUGAGAGAGAGAGAGAGAGAAUCAGUCUAUUUACUUUUUUUAAACUCUCAAUAUAUCCAUUCAUGAGACUGAUAUUAUUAUUGACACAAACACACAUGGACGGACAGAGUCUCCCUCUCUUUUUAAUUCUCUCUCUCACACACACUCUGACACAGUGUAGUUUCAGUUCAAUAGCGCUUUAUUGGCAUAACUGUCAAAAUGCAAAAUGCCAUAGAAAGGCAGAGUGUAAUUAAUGAAGGUGCACGCAAACACACAGUGUGUUUAAUGUACGCUGACAGGUGGAUCUAUUGCUCUUGUCAGUGAGGUUCUCUGUAGACAUACAGACUUGAUUAAAGGGCUUGUGUUUUAUGUGAGAGUCAGUGUUGUAGUACAAAACAAACCGAGAACAAACACAGCUAUAUACACACAGACAUCUGUGUUUUAUACAUGUAAUAUGAGCAAAUUGUGUGUUUGUGUGUGUAAGCCUAUGUGUGCCAGUGAACACUCACAUAAUGGUUUUUAUGCAGGGAUAUACCAGACAAAACUAAAAGCCACAGGCCAGGAGGUUUUACAGUAUAGUGUCAAGUUCUCACACACACACACACACACACACACACACACACACACACACACACAUUUUUGCAUCAUUUUGUUAAUAUCGCUAUUGUUUCUCCUGAACACCAAAGCAAUUAAUUCAAGCAAAUGGAGACUUUUAUGUCUCAAGCUUUUGUAAGAAAAAAGACCCAG